CUGGACCGGCUGGGAAUCCUCAAGGGCUGCAGCUACUUAUACCUGGGAGGAAGCAACAAGCAGACCAUCCGCGUAGGAUCACGACCCGGCGGCGGCGGCUCUCUGUUCUUCUUCUACCUCCGUUCCCCUUCCUCUUCCCUUCCUCUUGUAAUCACUGCUAAGACAAGAAUCCUGGUGUGAGUGCUAUAGAUCACGUGAUACAUAUAUCUAGUACCCAACAUCUGGUAUUCAGAGCCAGUCCACCAUCCUUCCUGCCCCAAUUCUUUUUCCACAAUCACCACCUUCAACCUGUUCGAUCAAAUGUUUAGCCACCAAAUGUCCUCAGAUCAGGUUCUCAACUUGGUCGUGGAGCAAGCGAUUUACCCUAUCACUACUAACAUAUUGUAUUCCCUCUUCGCUCCCUUUGGUGUAGAGCAGUUGGUGGUGUAUCCCCAAACAAAAUUAGGGGAUGGAGAGCCUUGUGUAGCAGCGGAUGUCCGAUUCACUUCGGCGCAAGCGGCGGCGCACGCGUUCGCAUACUGGGAUGGUCGCUGCAUCUACUACCGGUGUUGUCGCCUGCAGAUGUGGUGCGCUACACUCGACGUGUUGCCGGCCCCAGCAUCUACUUCACCCACCGUCGUCAAGGACAACCGUGACACCGCCGUCGACCUCAACAACUACACCACGACCAUCUCUGAUCAUGACGGCGAGUUCGUCGGGGCCAUCGAAAUCCCUGCGGCGGCAUCCACCAGCACGUCGCCUCACGGCCACGAUACAUUCACCAAGUCUUCCCUCGACAACGAUUGUUGCGUCCUAGUCGCGGGCACGGACGACUACACAUUGGUGGCGGCAAUUCCAGAAAUCGUCACCGAGCUCGCCGUCUUCCCCGGCGUCCCCUCGACCACCAAGGCCCAGGAGGACCUCGAGGUCAUCCACGACGCGCCCCCUGCCCGCAUCACGAUGGCGCAUGUCACCUAUCCGACGGAAUGCUCGCACCAGGUCGCCACAACCGACAUUCUCAAUGAGGGUUUGGGACUCAUCCUGAAAGAUGCCAUUGCGGAGCUCAUGCAUACGGUGACCCCCAUCGAAAUGUCCUCCGAGAUCGUGUCCCUGGAGGUGUGUGGCACAGGCCAAGGUGUUGUCGCCAUCGAUGUCAACGCUCCCACCACGUCUGUAUUCACUGGGUCGUCGGUGUGGCCCAGCUCCAACUCCGGCACCCCUGAAUAUUCACUGCCGUCGAGACACAAUGAUGUACAACAAGUGUUCGAGCCAAUGCCGUUUGACAAGCCUGAAGAUGCUGUUGCUGAUGUGAAGAAGCACAAAGAUGAUGCAAAGCUGACAGUACUUACACUCGUCGUGAACCCAUCAACUUGGUAUGAACAUUUCAGUCCCCGAGACCCAUGUUUUGUUUCGUUCGAUGCCCAGUUGGUAUUUGAGGAGCAUAUGAGGUCUGAACCGUGUCUAACAUGGCCACCACUAGUAGGAGCUAAUUUCAGUGAGUUAUGUUCAUCGGGGCAGUUUGAUUCAGAUUGCACAUUGUCAUUAUUCCCUUGGAAUCCAGGUGGUUAUUUGCUCAAGCAUAGCAAUCGGAUGACCAGAGUGUUUAUUACUGCUAAUUCACAAUGGCCUAUUACCCGUGUAAUUGAGGAGUCCAGUAAGUGCUUUCCUCAUAUUGUAAAAAUACAGUGGUUGUUUACUAUUUGUCUGAAGACAAUGACACAGUUCUUGGUAAUACUAUCUUUUGCUAAUCUGGAUUAUGAGCUAUGGCCUCCACCUUUGCGAGUGUUGAUCAGUCAAAAGGGGCACAUGUUCAGGCCAAGACCAUGGCCGUCUUUUGAUUGCUUUCAGGCAGAUGUGCAUCUGAAGUAUGCAGGGCAGCAAGUUACUUAUGUGAUGAAUCAUUUUUCUGGUGUUCGUAAUUUCCCAAGAGAAUCAUGGAGGUAUCUGCAAACUGAGCAACAGAAACCACGCCAUUCUGGGAAGGUUGUUUGUUGCAUCCAUAUGAUCUUAAGAGUCCUUUCUGUUCCUCGUCAGAUGAUACUGCAAUUAAUGGAGAAUGUGAACUCGAGUGCUGCAGAAUGGAGGUUGUAUGUUUCAACUGAGCUACAAGGUUAUGACAUACCUGACACCGAUUGUGAGAGCCAACCAAAGCAACGAUCACUGUUCAAGUUCAGUCGAAAGACAAUCCAACUGAAGCCACCAUGGCCAUCGUUUUCAUGCAAUUGCCACAGGUGCGGUCAGCAUUACUUACCGGUGACCCACCUGAGGACUACAUUGACACCAACUCCAUUUCGUCGUCGUGGACAUGAUGGGCUGCGUCAAUCCUGUUCCAAACUGCGCAUCGAUGGGUGCGGCCGCUGCCUACACCAUCCCGUCUUCCAGAUGAGCUGAGCUUCACUCCCAGCUGGUUCGCAUCUUCACUAAUUGGUCCUCCUAUUGAGAACAUGUGCAGCAGAAUAAAGUUGCGACCGCUUCCAUGGCCAUCCUGGGAGUGUUAUAGAGGCUGGAAGUUAUUGGUCAGGCAAGCGCCAUCCUUCAUGGAAGGGAGGUCUCAUCAUCAGUGGUCAAUAUUGGUAUAUUGGGGCAGUCUGGAGUUGACCCUUAUAGUGCAUAGUCCUCGUACUAAGUAUUUUAGAUCAAAUGCGUCAGUAUGAGUAUGGAAGCCGUACUAGCCUGGGAAGUGUUACCCAAAUCAGUGGUGGUCGUGAAGCAGUGCAGGGCACUAUGAUGCGUAUGGAUAUAUCAAUGAAUUGGCAUUUUUUGCGAAAAGAAGAAUUUGAGAGGAGUCGAAUUUAUUCACAUGACAACAUGAUAUUUGGGGGCAAGGAAGUGCUUAUCGCACGGUUAUUAACCAGUAUGUUCUGCUGCAAUACAACAAAAUCAGAGGUGAUUCAGUCUUUGUUUUUGCUUGACCGACAUAUCAAUGGAAUUUCUUGGCAUGUCCUAGUCACAGGUUCACAACGGCAAUGGUUUUCAAGUGGUUCUUCUCAUAUAUUUAUUGAGGAAAAUGUUCCAGAGAUUUGCAAUCAGCCGACCUCGUGUGCAAGAGUGCUACGCUGCCAACGUAUACCAGUCUUAGAUGCCCCAAUUCAUGCUGAAUGUGUUCCAUCUUGUUUUUGUGCUGUACUCUGUUCAAAGGAUCCGGGGUUACAUACUGCUGCUAGAGGAUUCUUGCUCCUUCCAAAUGACAAUGGUAUACCUGGUGCGUGGUUAGUUCUGCUGUGCCAGAGUCACACAACUCUGUUAGCUGCUCAAUGUGUGGAUGAUGAAACCACAAGAAAGCGGUGCAAGGAGGUGCCAUGGGAACCCAGUGAUUUUUACAUGGCAUCAGUUGUUCUCACCAGGUUGCAGCCAGAAAAAUUUCAACAAGGGAGGGGUGUCGCAGUUCUGGCUACAUUCUUUAAGCAAGCCCCCAUUGGCCACCACUACUACCACGACUUCGGCCACAACGGUGCCGACAACGAUCGCAACUACAAGUAUCUCACUGAAGUCUACCAUGUCCUCGGCUACCACCGCGACGUCGAGCCAGUCAAAGACCAUCGAGUGCAAUGGGAUCCGGGCGGUUCUCGGUGGAGUCGGCUUGGGGUCAAGCCGAAUUUCAAAAAAGGGGGGAUGUUAGGGCCCUUCCCCAGCCCAUACGUGUAUGUGGGCUUGCCUAUGGACAUCACUUGGGCCUGGCCCGGCUGGGAAUCCUCAAGGGCUGCAGCUACUUAUACCUGGGAGGAAGCAACGAGCAGACCAUCCGCGUAGGAUCACGAACCCGGCGGCGGCGGCUCUCUGUUCUUCUUCUACCUCCGUUCCCCUUUCUCUUCCCUUCCUCUUGUAAUCACUGCUAAGACAAGAAUCCUUGUGUGAGUGCUAUAGAUCGUGUGAUACAUAUAUCUGGUACCUAACAUUCAGG
Molecule: long non-coding RNA, 3880 nt
Filed under: Triticum aestivum (bread wheat)
Lineage: Eukaryota; Viridiplantae; Streptophyta; Magnoliopsida; Poales; Poaceae
Description: long non-coding RNA (TAES_LNC016996)
Source: RNAcentral